Long non-coding RNA from Rhagoletis pomonella (apple maggot), 481 nucleotides. RefSeq lists it as uncharacterized. The record is from RefSeq and is a predicted model, not a curated record. Lineage: Eukaryota; Metazoa; Arthropoda; Insecta; Diptera; Tephritidae. The transcript is spliced from 2 exons.
CAAUCACACUUUGCUGAAUACAUUUUGUGUAAAACCAUGAUUCAAUAAUACAAGGUUGGGUAACCUGGCGGUUGUCUCGCUCCCGCAUUCUGCCUUAGCCUGUGUUGCCUUCUUUUUUGAUUUGUAGAAACUACUACUAAAAUACAAGGAGAAAUAUUGUCUUCGUAUAAAAGUUCAACAGUUCAUCGAUUGUUUCGUGGAAAUUCAUUUUCUUAUUGGGCAAAUUCAAGGUAUAGGAGUUAUUCAUAAUUUGUAUUCAAAAAGUAGCGUUUUACAACAAGUGCAGCCGUUGCAAGUAAGUUUUGCCGGCUAGGAUCCCUGUGUGUCCGUCCACGUAUGGCUGGUGCAGAAAAUACAAAUAUUAAUAAAUAUAUUCUCUUGUGAAGGUCAGGAUCACUUGGGUGUCCGUCCACGUUUGCUGGUGCAUGUAUUUUUACCACUGCAGCGUUUUGGUUGGUCAAGAGCAGCCUUUGCAUAUUUA